GUAGACACCAUGACCCAGUUGUGUAAACA
Molecule: non-coding RNA, 29 nt
Filed under: Homo sapiens (human)
Lineage: Eukaryota; Metazoa; Chordata; Mammalia; Primates; Hominidae
Source: RNAcentral